UGGGGAAUAUUGCACAAUGGGGAAAGCCCUGAUGCAGCAACGCCGCGUGAAGGAAGACGGUUUUCGGAUUGUAAACUUCUUUUCUUAGUGAAGAAGCAAGUGACGGUAGCUAAGGAAUAAGCAUCGGCUAACUACGUGCCAGCAGCCGCGGUAAUACGUAGGAUGCGAGCGUUAUCCGGAAUUACUGGGUGUAAAGGGAGCGCAGGCGGGACUGCAAGUUGGAUGUGAAAUACCGCAGCUUAACUGCGGAGCUGCAUCCAAAACUGUAGUUCUUGAGUGGAGUAGAGGCAAGCGGAAUUCCGAGUGUAGCGGUGAAAUGCGUAGAUAUUCGGAGGAACACCAGUGGCGAAGGCGGCUUGCUGGGCUCUAACUGACGCUGAGGCUCGAAAGUGUGGGGAGCAAACAGGAUUAGAUACC
RNAcentral lists this ribosomal RNA (417 nucleotides) under uncultured bacterium. RNAcentral describes it as "bacterial SSU rRNA". It matches the Rfam family "Bacterial small subunit ribosomal RNA", at positions 355 to 786 of the family's 1533-position model. The record is from RNAcentral.